UACGUAGGUGGCAAGCGUUAUCCGGAUUUACUGGGUGUAAAGGGCGUGUAGGCGGGAGAGCAAGUCAGACGUGAAAUUCCAGGGCUCAACCCUGGAACUGCGUUUGAAACUGUUCUUCUUGAGUGAUGGAGAGGCAGGCGGAAUUCCGUGUGUAGCGGUGAAAUGCGUAGAUAUACGGAGGAACACCAGUGGCGAAGGCGGCUUGCUGGACGAUGACUGACGUUGAGGCUCGAAAGCGUGGGGAGCAAACAGG
RNAcentral lists this ribosomal RNA (253 nucleotides) under uncultured bacterium. Its description in RNAcentral is "partial 16S ribosomal RNA". It matches the Rfam family "Bacterial small subunit ribosomal RNA", at positions 524 to 776 of the family's 1533-position model. The record is from RNAcentral.